GCCGUCGUAGCUCAGGGGUAGAGCGUUUGUCUUGUAAACAAAAGGUCUCUGGUUCGAUUCCAGACUGCGGCA
This 72-nucleotide transfer RNA is filed under the name Pleodorina starrii. It matches the Rfam family "tRNA". From Rfam's summary of the family: Transfer RNA (tRNA) molecules are approximately 80 nucleotides in length. Their secondary structure includes four short double-helical elements and three loops (D, anti-codon, and T loops). Further hydrogen bonds mediate the characteristic L-shaped molecular structure. tRNAs have two regions of fundamental functional importance: the anti-codon, which is responsible for specific mRNA codon recognition, and the 3' end, to which the tRNAs corresponding amino acid is attached (by aminoacyl-tRNA synthetases). tRNAs cope with the degeneracy of the genetic code in two manners: having more than one tRNA (with a specific anti-codon) for a particular amino acid; and 'wobble' base-pairing, i.e. permitting non-standard base-pairing at the 3rd anti-codon position. The record is from Rfam by way of RNAcentral. Lineage: Eukaryota; Viridiplantae; Chlorophyta; Chlorophyceae; Chlamydomonadales; Volvocaceae.